RNAcentral lists this non-coding RNA (21 nucleotides) under Oreochromis niloticus (Nile tilapia). Its record names the gene oni-miR-202. RNAcentral also lists the same sequence under 2 other names. Lineage: Eukaryota; Metazoa; Chordata; Actinopteri; Cichliformes; Cichlidae. The record is from miRBase by way of RNAcentral.
UUCCUAUGCACAUACUUCUUU